UAGUGGUUAGGAUUCGGCGCUCUCACC
This 27-nucleotide non-coding RNA is filed under the name Xenopus tropicalis (tropical clawed frog). RNAcentral also lists the same sequence under 6 other names. The record is from RNAcentral. Lineage: Eukaryota; Metazoa; Chordata; Amphibia; Anura; Pipidae.